GACGAACGCUGGCGGCGCGCUUAACACAUGCAAGUCGAACGGAAAGGCCUGCUUUCCCUUGUGGAUUGCGGGUACUCGAGUGGCGAACGGGUGAGUAACACGUGAGUGAUCUGCCCCCAACUUGGGUAUAAGCCUGGGAAACCGGGUCUAAUUCCCGAUAGGACUGCAGGGUGGUUCCUGUGGUGGAAAACGAUUUUCUCGUGGUUGGGGAUGAGCUCGCGGCCUAUCAGCUCGUUGGUGGGGUAAUGGCCUGCCAAUGCGGCGACGGGUAGCCGGCCUGAGAGGGUGGACGGCGACAUUGGGACAGAGUACCGACCCAGACUCAUACGGGAGGCAGCAGUGGGGAGUAUAGCAACAUGAGCGGAAGACUGAUGCAGCGACGCCGCGUAGGGGAUGACGGCCUUCGGGUAGUAAACUGCUGGCGACCGAGAGGAAGCCACAUGGUUGGAAGGGUGGUGACGGUAGUGGUAGAAGAAGCACCGGCUAACUACGUG
RNAcentral lists this ribosomal RNA (494 nucleotides) under uncultured bacterium. RNAcentral describes it as "partial 16S ribosomal RNA". It matches the Rfam family "Bacterial small subunit ribosomal RNA", at positions 28 to 507 of the family's 1533-position model. The record is from RNAcentral.